RNAcentral lists this ribosomal RNA (253 nucleotides) under uncultured bacterium. RNAcentral describes it as "partial 16S ribosomal RNA". It matches the Rfam family "Bacterial small subunit ribosomal RNA", at positions 524 to 776 of the family's 1533-position model. The record is from RNAcentral.
UACAGAGGUCUCAAGCGUUGUUCGGAUUCAUUGGGCGUAAAGGGUGCGUAGGCGGCGCGGUAAGUCGGGUGUGAAAUCUCGGGGCUUAACUCCGAAACUGCAUUCGAUACUGCCGUGCUUGAGGACUGGAGAGGAGACUGGAAUUUACGGUGUAGCGGUGAAAUGCGUAGAUAUCAGGAGGAACACCGGUGGCGAAGGCGGAUCUCUGGGCCAUUACUGACGCUGAGGAGCGAAAGCGUGGGGAGCGAACAGG